RNAcentral lists this ribosomal RNA (400 nucleotides) under uncultured bacterium. RNAcentral describes it as "bacterial SSU rRNA". It matches the Rfam family "Bacterial small subunit ribosomal RNA", at positions 355 to 772 of the family's 1533-position model. The record is from RNAcentral.
UGGGGAAUUUUGGACAAUGGGCGCAACCCUGAUCCAGCCAUGCCGCGUGAAUGAUGAAGGCCUUCGGGUUGUAAAGUUCUUUUGGCGGGGACGAUGAUGACGGUACCCGCAGAAUAAGCCCCGGCUAACUUCGUGCCAGCAGCCGCGGUAAUACGAAGGGGGCUAGCGUUGUUCGGAAUUACUGGGCGUAAAGGGCGCGUAGGCGGUUUGGCCAGUCAGAUGUGAAAGCCCCGGGCUCAACCCGGGAACUGCGUUUGAUACUGCCAAGCUUGAAUUCGGGAGAGGUGAGUGGAAUUCCCAGUGUAGAGGUGAAAUUCGUAGAGAUUGGGAAGAGCACCGGUGGCGAAGGCGGCUCACUGGACCGACAUUGACGCUGAGGCGCGAAAGCGUGGGGAGCAAA